GACGAACGCUGGCGGCGUGCUUAACACAUGCAAGUGGAGCGACGAACCGGGGCUUGCCCCGGGCAGAGCCGCGAACGGGUGAGUAACACGUGGGUAACCCACCCCGAUGACCGGGACAACCCGAGGAAACUCGGGCUAAUACCGGAUGUGCUCCUUGACCUCGAGGUCAAGGCUAAAGAUAGCUUCGGCCUUCGCAUCGGGACGGGCCCGCGGCCCAUUAGCUUGUUGGUGGGGUAAAGGCCUACCAAGGCGACGAUGGGUAGCUGGUCUGAGAGGACGAUCAGCCACACUGGGACUGAGACACGGCCCAGACUCCUACGGGAGGCAGCAGUGGGGAAUC
RNAcentral lists this ribosomal RNA (340 nucleotides) under uncultured bacterium. RNAcentral describes it as "bacterial SSU rRNA". It matches the Rfam family "Bacterial small subunit ribosomal RNA", at positions 28 to 363 of the family's 1533-position model. The record is from RNAcentral.